AGUGAACGCUGGCGGUGGGCCUAACACAUGCAAGUCGAACGGAAGCACAGUAAGAGCUUGCCCUUACGGGUGGCGAGGGGCGGACGGGUGAGGAAUACAUCGGAAUCUACUAUUACGGGGGGGAUAACGGGGGGAAACUGACGCUAACACCGCAUAUGACGUACGGGUGAAAGCAGGGGAGCUACGGACCUUUGGUGUCUGUAUGAGACGAUGUCGGAUUAGCUAGUUGGCGGGGUAACGGCCCACCAAGGCAACGAUCCGUAGCUGAGCUGAGAGGAUGAUCGGCCACACUGGAACUGAGACACGGUCCAGACUCCUACGGGAGGCAGCAGUAGGGAAUCUUCCACAAUGGGCGCAAGCCUGACCCAGCCACACCGCGUGAGUGAUGAAGGCCUUCGGGUCGUAAAGCCCUUUUGUUGGGAAAGAACAGCAGCGUAUUAAUCCCCCGCUGUUCUGACGGUACCUAAUCAGUAAGCACCGGCUAACUUCGUG
RNAcentral lists this ribosomal RNA (492 nucleotides) under uncultured bacterium. Its description in RNAcentral is "partial 16S ribosomal RNA". It matches the Rfam family "Bacterial small subunit ribosomal RNA", at positions 29 to 507 of the family's 1533-position model. The record is from RNAcentral.